RNAcentral lists this transfer RNA (71 nucleotides) under Thryonomys swinderianus (greater cane rat). RNAcentral describes it as "transfer RNA-Lys". It matches the Rfam family "tRNA". From Rfam's summary of the family: Transfer RNA (tRNA) molecules are approximately 80 nucleotides in length. The record is from RNAcentral. Lineage: Eukaryota; Metazoa; Chordata; Mammalia; Rodentia; Thryonomyidae.
CAUUAUGAAGCUAUUUGCAAGCGUUAACCUUUUAAGUUAAAGACUGAGAGAUGAAAUUCUCUCCAUAAUGA